This 229-nucleotide ribosomal RNA is filed under the name uncultured bacterium. RNAcentral describes it as "partial 16S ribosomal RNA". It matches the Rfam family "Bacterial small subunit ribosomal RNA", at positions 99 to 334 of the family's 1533-position model. The record is from RNAcentral.
CGGACGGGUGAGUAAUGUAUGGGGAUCUGCCUGAUGGCGGGGGAUAACUACUGGAAACGGUAGCUAAUACCGCAUAAUGUCUACGGACCAAGCGGGGACCUCGGGCCUCUUGCCAUCGGAUGUGCCCAGAUGGGAUUAGCUAGUAGGUGGGGUAACGGCUCACCUAGGCGACGAUCCCUAGCUGGUCUGAGAGGAUGACCAGCCACACUGGAACUGAGACGCGGUCCAG